Molecule: ribosomal RNA, 253 nt
Filed under: uncultured bacterium
Lineage: Bacteria
Description: partial 16S ribosomal RNA
Rfam family: Bacterial small subunit ribosomal RNA
Source: RNAcentral
UACAGAGGUCCCGAGCGUUGUUCGGAUUCAUUGGGCGUAAAGGGUGCGUAGGCGGCGGGGCAAGUCUGAUGUGAAAUCCUGGGGCUCAACCCUGGAACUGCAUUGGAUACUGCCUUGCUAGAGUACUGGAGAGGAAACUGGAAUUUACGGUGUAGCAGUGAAAUGCGUAGAGAUCGUAAGGAAGACCAGUGGCGAAGGCGGCUUCCUGGCAAGGCACUGACGCUGAGGCACGAAAGCGUGGGGAGCAAACAGG